RNAcentral lists this unclassified non-coding RNA (431 nucleotides) under plant metagenome. RNAcentral's name for it is "partial contains 5.8S ribosomal RNA, internal transcribed spacer 2, and large subunit ribosomal RNA". The stretch from base 1 to 102 matches the Rfam family "5.8S ribosomal RNA", at positions 50 to 154 of the family's 154-position model. The record is from RNAcentral.
AAACUGCGAUAAGAAGUGUGAAUUGCAUUUAGUGAAUCAUCGAAUCUUUGAACGCACCCUGCACUCACUGGUAUUCCGGUGAGUACGCCUGUUUCAGUAUCAUUGAAAACACACAAUCAAAACAUUUUCUUUGGUUUGAUUGGCUUUGGGUCUAUCAAAAAGUUUGGCUUGUUUCUUACAAGCCAAGCGGCCUGAAAUAUAUUGUCUGGCUAAUUGCAUCGUUGAUGAUCGCUAUUAGACUUUGGCUUUUUUAAAUGAACUGGAGGUUGAUUAACCAGUUUUAGCUUUAGUCAAAUGGUCAUUGUAAAAAAAAUCUCGAUCUUGGCUAGGUGUUUAUAGCCGAAAAUUUUUUUUUGGCUAUAACCGAAACCAAUAUAAUCACAUUUAGUUAUCGAUCUGAAAUCAGGUGGGACUACCCGCUGAACUUAAGC